This is a non-coding RNA of Oryza glaberrima (African rice), 206 nucleotides long. NCBI's taxonomy places the organism in Eukaryota, Viridiplantae, Streptophyta, Magnoliopsida, Poales, Poaceae. The record is from Rfam.
AAAAAGGCAAACCCUGAGUUUCCGUGUCCAACUUUGACUAUCCGUCUUAUAUGAAAUUUUUUUAUAAUUCGUAUUUUCAUUGUUGUUAGAUGAUAAAACAUGAUUAAUAUUUUAUGCGUGACUUGUCUUUUUAAUUUUUUUUCAUAAUUUUUUCAAAUAAGACGAACGGUCAAAUGUUGGACACAGAAAUUAGGGUUUGUCUUUUU